Molecule: ribosomal RNA, 500 nt
Filed under: uncultured bacterium
Lineage: Bacteria
Description: partial 16S ribosomal RNA
Rfam family: Bacterial small subunit ribosomal RNA
Source: RNAcentral
AUUGAACGCUGGUGGCAGGCCUAACACAUGCAAGUCGAGCGGAUGAGGGGAGCUUGCUCCUCGAUUCAGCGGCGGACGGGUGAGUAAUGCCUAGGAAUCUGCCUAGUAGUGGGGGACAACGUUUCGAAAGGAACGCUAAUAACGAAUACGUCCUACGGGAGACAGUGGGGGAGCUUCGGAACGCACGGUAGUAGAUGAGCCUAGGUCGGAUUUGCUAGUUGGUAGGGGAAAGGCCUACCAAGGCGACGAUCCGUAACUGGUCUGAGAGGAUGAUCAGUCACACUGGAACUGAGACACGGUCCAGACUCCUACGGGAGGCAGCAUUGGGGAAUAUUGGACAAUGGGCGAAAGCCUGAUCCAGCCAUGCCGCGUGUGUGAAGAAGGCCUUCGGGUCGUAAAGCACUUUAAGUUGGGAGGAAGGGCUCAUAGCGAAUACCUGUGAGUUUUGACGUUACCAGCAGAAUAAGCACCGGCUAACUUCGUGCCAGCAGCCGCGGUAA